RNAcentral lists this ribosomal RNA (253 nucleotides) under uncultured bacterium. Its description in RNAcentral is "partial 16S ribosomal RNA". It matches the Rfam family "Bacterial small subunit ribosomal RNA", at positions 524 to 776 of the family's 1533-position model. The record is from RNAcentral.
UACAGAGGUCUCAAGCGUUGUUCGGAUUCACUGGGCAUAAAGGGCGCGUAGGCGGCUUCAUAAGUCAGGGGUGAAAUCCGGCAGCUUAACUGUCGCAGUGCCUUUGAUACUGUGGAGCUCGAGGGAGGUAGGGGUCUGUGGAACUUCCGGUGGAGCGGUGAAAUGCGUUGAUAUCGGAAGGAACGCCGGUGGCGAAAGCGACGGACUGGAUCUCUUCUGACGCUGAGGCGCGAAAGCCAGGGGAGCAAACGGG